UGAUGGUGAUAAGGACAAUUUCUGAGCAUGCAUUUAAAUCUCUCCCAAGCUUGGUAGAGAUUUUCUCUAUCUUUAUAUUUGAAACUUAAGAUCUCACUCCUCAAUUG
Non-coding RNA from Capsicum annuum, 107 nucleotides. NCBI's taxonomy places the organism in Eukaryota, Viridiplantae, Streptophyta, Magnoliopsida, Solanales, Solanaceae. The record is from Rfam.